This 87-nucleotide transfer RNA is filed under the name Deltaproteobacteria bacterium. Its description in RNAcentral is "tRNA-Ser". It matches the Rfam family "tRNA". From Rfam's summary of the family: Transfer RNA (tRNA) molecules are approximately 80 nucleotides in length. Their secondary structure includes four short double-helical elements and three loops (D, anti-codon, and T loops). Further hydrogen bonds mediate the characteristic L-shaped molecular structure. tRNAs have two regions of fundamental functional importance: the anti-codon, which is responsible for specific mRNA codon recognition, and the 3' end, to which the tRNAs corresponding amino acid is attached (by aminoacyl-tRNA synthetases). tRNAs cope with the degeneracy of the genetic code in two manners: having more than one tRNA (with a specific anti-codon) for a particular amino acid; and 'wobble' base-pairing, i.e. permitting non-standard base-pairing at the 3rd anti-codon position. Lineage: Bacteria; Pseudomonadati; Myxococcota; Myxococcia. The record is from RNAcentral.
GGAGAGGUGGCAGAGUGGUUGAACGCGGCGGUCUUGAAAACCGUUGUGCCCGUAAGGGUACCGGGGGUUCGAAUCCCUCCCUCUCCG